CAUUUGUCAGUGUAAUUCUCAAUGUUUCUCCCCUGAUAAGUGAUUGCUACUAUUGCAUGCUUACAAGGAAUUCCAGAUAAGUCCCAGGCCUCACAGUCACAAGACCUUUUUCUCAAGUUAACAAUGUAAUGUGUGUUUGAAUCCCUUACCUGAAACUCAACAGUCCCAUCCACAACUAAAGAACACUGCCUAGACUCUUCUUGUGCUUUGUUCAACUUACCUACCACAUUUUGCACAAACUGACCCCUCAAUUUUUUACCCUUAGCAGCCCUUUUUGUGAUU
Molecule: long non-coding RNA, 282 nt
Filed under: Erythranthe guttata (spotted monkey flower)
Lineage: Eukaryota; Viridiplantae; Streptophyta; Magnoliopsida; Lamiales; Phrymaceae
Description: long non-coding RNA (EGUT_LNC001503)
Source: RNAcentral